AUGACGUUAUAUCAGGGGAAGAAUAAAGAGGAAGAGGAUAAGGAAGAAAAGAAUGAUGGAUAGAGAGAGAAAAGAAAAACUACAUUUCCCACAAUACUAUGCGCGUCGGCGUAGUCCCUGAACCAAUCAGCGUGCAGGAGCUGCACACAUAAGAGGAAAGACCGCCUUCUUUCUUCCUCUUUCUCUGUGUGUGUGCUGAGCUAGUCACGUUGAGUCAUGUUCAGAGAGCCUGAUGCCAUGGAGAUGAAAAUGACCUGCUCACUGCUGAGUGCAGUCGGAUGAAAGUCAGACAAGCUGAUCAUGAAGCUGUGUUUGAAAAACAGAUGAGGGCGAGGGGGAAAUCUUGCCUAGAAGUAGACAAGAUGAUCCUGGAGUCCAAAUAAAGAGGUGGUGAAUAAACCGUCUGACAUGGGGCUUCCACUUUGAGAAGGAUGAAGCCUGAUUUGUGACGCGAGACCAUAAGGCACCCAACACCACAGGAUAAAAUCCAAGGAGGAGCACACCGAAGCUGGAGUGAUGCAAGACCAGUCAAAUCUCUAAAUCGCCUUACUAGCUGAAAAAGUUUGUUACAUGAUGAAAUAAUUGGCAAGACGAAGUUCAUGGAAAGCCUGUGAUCUUUAAUCAGAAUGGAAAGUGAGACUAUAGGGGUGCAUAUUGUCCCUGUGUAACUCCUUUUAACUAAUAAAACUUUGAUAAACCAA
Long non-coding RNA from Clarias gariepinus (North African catfish), 701 nucleotides. RefSeq lists it as uncharacterized. The transcript is spliced from 9 exons. The record is from RefSeq and is a predicted model, not a curated record. Lineage: Eukaryota; Metazoa; Chordata; Actinopteri; Siluriformes; Clariidae.